CAGCAGCCGCGGUAAUACGGAGGGUGCAAGCGUUAAUCGGAAUUACUGGGCGUAAAGCGCACGCAGGCGGUCUGACAAGUCAGAUGUGAAAUCCCCGGGCUUAACCUGGGAACUGCAUUUGAAACUGUCAGGCUGGAGUCUUGUAGAAGGGGGUAGAAUUCCAGGUGUAGCGGUGAAAUGCGUAGAGAUCUGGAGGAAUACCGGUGGCGAAGGCGGCCCCCUGGACAAAGACUGACGCUCAGGUGCGAAAGCGUGGGGAGCAAACAGGAUUAGAUACCCCUGUAGUCCCUGUCUCUUAUAC
This 301-nucleotide ribosomal RNA is filed under the name uncultured bacterium. RNAcentral's name for it is "partial 16S ribosomal RNA". It matches the Rfam family "Bacterial small subunit ribosomal RNA", at positions 509 to 807 of the family's 1533-position model. The record is from RNAcentral.